AUAUCAAUAAGCGGAGGAAAAGAAACCAACAGGGAUUGCCUCAGUAACGGCGAGUGAAGCGGCAACAGCUCAAAUUUGAAAUCUGGCUCCUCACGGGUCCGAAGUUGUAAUUUGUAGAGGAUGCUUCGGAGCAUGUGGCUCCGGUCUAAGUUCCUUGGAACAGGACGUCAUAGAGGGUGAGAAUCCCGUAUGCGACUAGGCUGCCUACGCUCAUGUGAAGCUCCUUUCGACGAGUCGAGUUGUUUGGGAAUGCAGCUCAAAAUGGGUGGUAAAUUUCAUCUAAAGCUAAAUACUGGCCAGAGACCGAUAGCGCACAAGUAGAGUGAUCGAAAGAUGAAAAGCACUUUGGAAAGAGAGUUAAACAGUAC
This 368-nucleotide ribosomal RNA is filed under the name uncultured fungus. Its description in RNAcentral is "eukaryotic LSU rRNA". It matches the Rfam family "Eukaryotic large subunit ribosomal RNA", at positions 40 to 398 of the family's 3401-position model. Lineage: Eukaryota; Fungi. The record is from RNAcentral.